AAUAGAUACCCUGGUAGUCCACGCCGUAAACGAUGAGUGCUAAGUGUUAGAGGGUUUCCGCCCUUUAGUGCUGCAGCUAACGCAUUAAGCACUCCGCCUGGGGAGUACGGCCGCAAGGCUGAAACUCAAAGGAAUUGACGGGGGCCCGUACAAGCGGUGGAGCAUGUGGUUUAAUUCGAAGCAACGCGAAGAACUUUACCAGGUCUUGACAUCCUCUGCCAACCCUAGAGGUAGGGCGUUCCCCUUCGGGGGACAGAGUGACAGGUGGUGCAUGGUUGUCGUCAGCUCGUGUCGUGAGAUGUUGGGUUAAGUCCCGCAACGAGCGCAACCCUUGAUCUUAGUUGCCAGCAUUCAGUUGGGCACUCUAAGGUGACUGCCGGUGACAAACCGGAGGAAGGUGGGGAUGACGUCAAAUCAUCAUGCCCCUUAUGACCUGGGCUACACACGUGCUACAAUGGAUGGUACAAAGAGCUGCGAACCCGCGAGGGUAAGCCAAUCUCAUAAAGCCAUUCUCAGUUCGGA
This 522-nucleotide ribosomal RNA is filed under the name uncultured bacterium. RNAcentral describes it as "bacterial SSU rRNA". It matches the Rfam family "Bacterial small subunit ribosomal RNA", at positions 777 to 1297 of the family's 1533-position model. The record is from RNAcentral.